This 148-nucleotide non-coding RNA is filed under the name Nomascus leucogenys (northern white-cheeked gibbon). The record is from Rfam by way of RNAcentral. Lineage: Eukaryota; Metazoa; Chordata; Mammalia; Primates; Hylobatidae.
GCCAGGCAUGGUGGCGCAUGCCUGUAAUCCCAGCUACUCAGGAGGCUGAGGCAGGAGAAUCACUUGAACCUGGGAGGUGAAGGCUGCAGUGAGCCGAGAUCUGGCCACUGCAUUCCAGCCUGGGCAACAGAGUGAGACUCUGUCUCAA